AGAGUUUGAUCCUGGCUCAGAGCGAACGCUGGCGGCAUGCUUAACACAUGCAAGUCGCACGGACCUUUCGGGGUGAGCGGCGGACGGGUGAGUAACACGUGGGUAACCUACCUAUAAGACUGGGAUAACUUCGGGAAACCGGAGCUAAUACCGGAUAACAUUUGGAACCGCAUGGUUCUAAAGUGAAAGAUGGUUUUGCUGUCACUUAUAGAUGGACCCGCGCCGUAUUAGCUAGUUGGUAAGGUAACGGCUUACCAAGGCGACGAUACGUAGCCGACCUGAGAGGGUGAUCGGCCACACUGGAACUGAGACACGGUCCAGACUCCUACGGGAGGCAGCAGUAGGGAAUCUUCCGCAAUGGGCGAAAGCCUGACGGAGCAACGCCGCGUGAGUGAUGAAGGGUUUCGGCUCGUAAAACUCUGUUAUUAGGGAAGAACAAAUGUGUAAGUAACUGUGCACGUCUUGACAGUACCUAAUCAGAAAGCCACGGCUAACUACGUGCCAGCAGCCGCGGUAAUAC
RNAcentral lists this ribosomal RNA (520 nucleotides) under uncultured bacterium. Its description in RNAcentral is "bacterial SSU rRNA". It matches the Rfam family "Bacterial small subunit ribosomal RNA", at positions 8 to 526 of the family's 1533-position model. The record is from RNAcentral.